GGUAUCCUGAAAUGUGCGAUACUCCCUUAAUUUUGAACCUACAUUUUUUUGAAACGGGAUUCCUAUAUUGGUGCUUCGGAUGUCAGGCCGUAUCUUUUCAGCGGAAGACAGAGGUUGCAUCUGCGGUUGCCCACCUAGCGCUGCUAGGACUCAAAAUAUGGGAAACGGCAUUUUGGGAUAUCA
RNAcentral lists this non-coding RNA (183 nucleotides) under Candidatus Limivivens merdigallinarum. RNAcentral's name for it is "6S RNA". It matches the Rfam family "6S / SsrS RNA". Rfam says of the family: E. coli 6S RNA was the first non coding RNA to be sequenced, but its function was unknown until recently. Lineage: Bacteria; Bacillati; Bacillota; Clostridia; Lachnospirales; Lachnospiraceae. The record is from RNAcentral.